This is a long non-coding RNA of Ixodes scapularis (black-legged tick), 321 nucleotides long. RefSeq lists it as uncharacterized. Lineage: Eukaryota; Metazoa; Arthropoda; Arachnida; Ixodida; Ixodidae. The record is from RefSeq and is a predicted model, not a curated record. The transcript has 2 exons.
GGACAUUCACAAAACAAGUCCCCUGAGGAAUCUGCUGAAUAUUACCAAAAGAUGAGGACUACGCUGUACGCGCUCGUGCUGUGCCUGCUGAUUGCCAGUGUAGUGGCCAUCAAGGGCUUCGGAAAGGGCUACGGAGGAGGCUUCGGCAAAGGACACGGCGGAGGGUUCGGACACGGCGGAGGCUUUGGACACGGUGGAGGAUUUGGGCAUGGCGGAGGAUUCGGCCAUGGUGGAGGAAAAUUCCGCCACUUCGGUUAAGCACUAGUCGUCUCGGAAUGAACUCUGCCAAAUAAAUGUAUAUAUCGGAACUUCAAACCAGAA